Molecule: transfer-messenger RNA, 371 nt
Filed under: Burkholderiales
Lineage: Bacteria; Pseudomonadati; Pseudomonadota; Betaproteobacteria
Also listed under: 1 other name
Description: CAIYPG01 sp016867955 Standard tmRNA
Rfam family: transfer-messenger RNA
About the family: Bacterial tmRNA, also known as 10Sa RNA or SsrA, is named for its dual tRNA and mRNA-like properties. Its role is to liberate the mRNA from a stalled ribosome. To accomplish this part of the tmRNA is used as a reading frame that ends in a translation stop signal.
Source: RNAcentral
GGGGGCGCCCUGGGUUCGACGUGGGUCGCGAAGCAUGGCAGUGCAUGUCAAGGUCCAGUCACCUUGUAAAUCAGCUGGAAAAUGAUAGUCGCCAACGACGAUCGUUACGCUCUAGCCGCCUAACACCGGCUGGACUCUGCCCCAGUUUGCUCAUGGGCUGGUCUGAACCCGCAAGGGGGAUGAGCGCAGAGUCAUAUACAUGGGAUCGUGAUGUACGGGGUCACUUCGUACUGAGCUAAAUCCAAGGUGACUCGCCCAAUAUCAGCCCGCCGGCCGGCGGUUAACGGGUUAAAUCAAAGGGCCAGGCUAAACAUGUAGUGCUGUCUGUGUAGGGCUUGCGGACGCGGGUUCGAUUCCCGCCGCCUCCACCA